This 448-nucleotide ribosomal RNA is filed under the name uncultured bacterium. Its description in RNAcentral is "partial 16S ribosomal RNA". It matches the Rfam family "Bacterial small subunit ribosomal RNA", at positions 29 to 523 of the family's 1533-position model. The record is from RNAcentral.
AACGAACGCUGGCGGCAUGCCUAACACAUGCAAGUCGAACGAGAUCUUCGGGUCUAGUGGCGCACGGGUGCGUAACGCGUGGGAAUCUGCCCUUUGGUUCGGAAUAACAGUUGGAAACGACUGCUAAUACCGGAUGAUGACGAAAGUCCAAAGAUUUAUCGCUAGAGGAUGAGCCCGCGUAGGAUUAGCUAGUUGGUGUGGUAAAGGCGCACCAAGGCGACGAUCCUUAGCUGGUCUGAGAGGAUGAUCAGCCACACUGGGACUGAGACACGGCCCAGACUCCUACGGGAGGCAGCAGUGGGGAAUAUUGGACAAUGGGCGAAAGCCUGAUCCAGCAAUGCCGCGUGAGUGAUGAAGGCCUUAGGGUUGUAAAGCUCUUUACCCGGGAUGAUAAUGACAGUACCGGGAGAAUAAGCUCCGGCUAACUCCGUGCCAGCAGCCGCAGUAA